AACCACAGCCACAUCAUCCUGCAGUUCAAGACCGGUUACUCACUGAAGCUAAGCAGGGCUGAGCAUGGUCAGUACCUGGAUGGGAGACCACAUGACAAAACUAGGUUGCUGUUGGAA
Molecule: ribosomal RNA, 117 nt
Organism: Danio rerio (zebrafish)
Lineage: Eukaryota; Metazoa; Chordata; Actinopteri; Cypriniformes; Danionidae
Source: Ensembl